Molecule: ribosomal RNA, 465 nt
Filed under: uncultured Klebsiella sp.
Lineage: Bacteria; Pseudomonadati; Pseudomonadota; Gammaproteobacteria; Enterobacterales; Enterobacteriaceae
Description: bacterial SSU rRNA
Rfam family: Bacterial small subunit ribosomal RNA
Source: RNAcentral
CCUACGGGAGGCUGCAGUGGGGAAUAUUGCACAAUGGGCGCAAGCCUGAUGCAGCCAUGCCGCGUGUGUGAAGAAGGCCUUCGGGUUGUAAAGCACUUUCAGCGGGGAGGAAGGCGGUGAGGUUAAUAACCUCAUCGAUUGACGUUACCCGCAGAAGAAGCACCGGCUAACUCCGUGCCAGCAGCCGCGGUAAUACGGAGGGUGCAAGCGUUAAUCGGAAUUACUGGGCGUAAAGCGCACGCAGGCGGUCUGUCAAGUCGGAUGUGAAAUCCCCGGGCUCAACCUGGGAACUGCAUUCGAAACUGGCAGGCUAGAGUCUUGUAGAGGGGGGUAGAAUUCCAGGUGUAGCGGUGAAAUGCGUAGAGAUCUGGAGGAAUACCGGUGGCGAAGGCGGCCCCCUGGACAAAGACUGACGCUCAGGUGCGAAAGCGUGGGGAGCAAACAGCAUUAGAUACCCCAGUAGUC